AAAUAUUUUGAUAUGAGCGUCACUGAUGAGUCUUAUGUAGACGAAACGCGCGUCUGGCGUACUAAAUUAUAAUCCUGGUACCUUUGAUAACUAUUUACACCACUGGGUCGAUAUCACUGCUGGUGGACGUUUCGUCCCCGAGGGUAUCACCAGCCCAGUAGUCAUCACUUUGGUGUUGACAUGAAUAUCAAUAAUGUGGUCAUUUUUUUUUUAUAUAAAUUUCCUGUUAACAAAAGUUUAAAUUUUUCGAAAAACUAAGGAUUUUCUUAUUCCAGGCAUAGAUUUCCUUAGCCGUAUUUGGCACAACGUUUUGGAAUUUUGGAUCCUCAAUGCUCUUCAACUUUGUAAUUGUUUGGCUUUAUAAAUAUUUUGAUAUGAGCGUCACUGAUGAGUCUUAUGUAGACGAAACGCGCGUCUGGCGUACUAAAUUAUAAUCCUGGUACCUUUGAUAACUAUU
Molecule: long non-coding RNA, 457 nt
Filed under: Mytilus galloprovincialis (Mediterranean mussel)
Lineage: Eukaryota; Metazoa; Mollusca; Bivalvia; Mytilida; Mytilidae
Source: RNAcentral